RNAcentral lists this ribosomal RNA (241 nucleotides) under uncultured bacterium. Its description in RNAcentral is "partial 16S ribosomal RNA". It matches the Rfam family "Bacterial small subunit ribosomal RNA", at positions 796 to 1041 of the family's 1533-position model. The record is from RNAcentral.
CUAGCCGUAAACGAUGGGCACUAGGUGUGGGGAGUCAACUCUCUCCGUGCCGCAGCUAACGCAUUAAGUGCCCCGCCUGGGGAGUACGGCCGCAAGGCUAAAACUCAAAGGAAUUGACGGGGGCCCGCACAAGCAGCGGAGCAUGUGGCUUAAUUCGAAGCUACGCGAAGAACCUUACCAGGGUUUGACAUAUAGGUGAAGCGGCGGAAACGUCGUGGCCGAAAGGAGCCUAUACAGGUGG